AGAGUUUGAUUAUGGCUCAGGAUGAACGCUGGCGGUAUGCUUUACACAUGCAAGUCGUACGAGAGUUUUUAACUCAAGUGGCGGACGGGUGAGUAACACGUAAGAAUUUGCCUUUAGGAGGGGGAUAACAACUGGAAACGGUUGCUAAUACCCCAUAUGCUUUCAAGUUCCGCCGAAACGGCGGACACUUGAAAUGUGAAACGGUUUUUCCGCCUAAAGAGAAGCUUGCGGCUGAUUAGCUUGUUGGUGAGGGAAUGGCUCACCAAGGCGACGAUCAGUAUCUGGUUUGAGAGGACGAUCAGACACACUGGAACUGAGACACGGUCCAGACUCCUACGGGAGGCAGCAGUGGGGAAUUUUCCGCAAUGGGCGAAAGCCUGACGGAAGCAAUACCGCGUGAGGGAUGACGGCCUAUGGGUUGUAAACCUCCUUUUCAGGGAGGAAUCAAAUGACGUGUACCUGAGGAAUAAGCAUCGGCUAACUCCGUGCCAGCCGCUGC
RNAcentral lists this ribosomal RNA (499 nucleotides) under uncultured bacterium. Its description in RNAcentral is "bacterial SSU rRNA". It matches the Rfam family "Bacterial small subunit ribosomal RNA", at positions 8 to 518 of the family's 1533-position model. The record is from RNAcentral.